UACGUAGGCAGCAAGCGUUGUUCGGAGUUACUGGGCGUAAAGGGUGUGUAGGCGGUCUUCUAAGUUUGGUGUGAAAUCUCCCGGCUCAACUGGGAGGGUGCGCCGAAAACUGGGAGGCUAGAGUGCGGGAUGGGAGAGUGGAAUUCCUGGUGUAGCGGUGAAAUGCGUAGAUAUCAGGAGGAACACCUGUGGUGUAGACGGCUCUCUGGACCGCAACUGACACUGAGACACGAAAGCGUGGGUAGCAAACAGG
Molecule: ribosomal RNA, 253 nt
Filed under: uncultured bacterium
Lineage: Bacteria
Description: partial 16S ribosomal RNA
Rfam family: Bacterial small subunit ribosomal RNA
Source: RNAcentral